GACGAAAUUAGAGUGCUCAAAGCAGACGCGCGUGCGUCUGAAUACAUUAGCAUGGAAUAACGAUACACGACAGCGAUUCAAUGAACAGUGGCGCUUCGUGCCGUUGGUAGUGCGUGGAUCGCCGUAAUGAUAAAUAGGGGCAGUUGGGGGUAUUAGUAUUUGAUAGUCAGAGGUGAAAUUCUUGGAUUUUAUCAAAGACUGACUAGUGCGAAAGCAUUUACUAAGGAUGUUCCCGUUGAUCAAGAACGAAAGUUAGGGGAUCGAAGACGAUUAGAUACCGUCGUAGUCUUAACCGUAAACGAUGCCGACUUGAGAUCAGUGGAUGUCGCACUUGUAUCGACUCCAUUGGCAUCAUGCGAGAAAUCAAAAGUUUUUUGGGUCUGGGGCUG
RNAcentral lists this ribosomal RNA (389 nucleotides) under uncultured eukaryote. RNAcentral describes it as "bacterial SSU rRNA". It matches the Rfam family "Eukaryotic small subunit ribosomal RNA", at positions 759 to 1122 of the family's 1831-position model. The record is from RNAcentral.